Chlorocebus sabaeus (green monkey) is the source of this 102-nucleotide small nuclear RNA. The record is from Rfam. NCBI's taxonomy places the organism in Eukaryota, Metazoa, Chordata, Mammalia, Primates, Cercopithecidae.
GUUGGCUUUGGCAGCACUUUCUAAAAUUAGAAUGAUGUAGACAAGAUUAACACGGCUCCUGCAUAUAGAUUACACAAAUUUUGUGAAACAUUUCAUAUUUUU